GAUGAACGCUGGCGGCGUGCCUAAUACAUGCAAGUCGAGCGAACGGACGAGAAGCUUGCUUCUCUGAUGUUAGCGGCGGACGGGUGAGUACCACGUGGAUAACCUACCUAUAAGACUGGGAUAACUUCGGGAAACCGGAGCUAAUACCGGAUAUUAUUUUGAACCGCAUGGUUCAAAAGUGAAAGACGGUCUUGCUGUCACUUAUAGAUGGAUCCGCGCUGCAUUAGCUAGUUGGUAAGGUAACGGCUUACCAAGGCAACGAUGCAUAGCCGACCUGAGAGGGUGAUCAGCCACACUGGAACUGAGACACGGUCCAGACUCCUACGGGAGGCAGCAGUAGGGAAUCUUCCGCAAUGGGCGAAAGCCUGACGGAGCAACGCCGCGUGAGUGAUGAAGGUCUUCGGAUCGUAAAACUCUGUUAUUAGGGAAGAACAUAUGUGUAAGUAACUGUGCACAUCUUGACGGUACCUAAUCAGAAAGCCACGGCUAACUACGUG
Molecule: ribosomal RNA, 497 nt
Filed under: uncultured bacterium
Lineage: Bacteria
Description: partial 16S ribosomal RNA
Rfam family: Bacterial small subunit ribosomal RNA
Source: RNAcentral